This 460-nucleotide ribosomal RNA is filed under the name Gyrocotyle sp. Its description in RNAcentral is "eukaryotic LSU rRNA". It matches the Rfam family "Eukaryotic large subunit ribosomal RNA", at positions 692 to 934 of the family's 3401-position model. Lineage: Eukaryota; Metazoa; Platyhelminthes; Cestoda; Gyrocotylidea; Gyrocotylidae. The record is from RNAcentral.
CAUUGGGCUCUACGAAACCCAAAGGCGUAGUCAAAGUGAAGGCCUGAAAUUUUUUAAAUUUUGGGUUACGGUGAGAUCCCGUUGUGUGUUUGCUCCUCGUGCAUUGGCAGUACCAAGCAUGGAGCAGCGGGCGCAUCACCGGCCCGUCCCAUAAUGUGUCUGCUCGGUUGAAGGCGGGCAGUAGAGCGCUCGGAUUUGUUUUGUGCGUGAAGGGCUGGGCUAAGUGGUCGACGCUUUGCGGUGUUGGUCCGUCUUGGUGUUGUCGGUCGUGCGCCGGGUCCGGGAGAGCGACUGUCCUACGGGCAUAUCAUUGGGGCGGAGCAUGAGCGUGCACGUUGAGACCCGAAAGAUGGUGAACUAUGCUUGCGCAGGUUGAAGCCAGAGGAAACUCUGGUGGAAGACCGCAGCGAUUCUGACGUGCAAAUCGAUCGUCAAACGUGAGUAUUGGGGGGCAGACUAA